CAUAGAGAGCCACUUUGCAUCAGCAGCACCAUGCUCCAGUGCUCUGGGAGAGUUUAUAGUCCUGAGAGUUGAACACUGGAUGACUGACAGCUGUCCUUCAUGACAACAGAAGCCCCAGAAAUCCUCCUCAUCAAAAACAUGACUCUGAUCUCCGUCCUCAUCUGGACUCUCCUCUGCUUCACUCAGGGGUCUGUUGGACAAAAUGUUGUCUUGACUCAGCCAGCAGCCAAAUCAGUGCAGCUGGGUCAAACUGUUUCUGUUGACUGUAAGGCCAAUCCAACAGUUACUAACUUCUCUGGUUCACGAUACUACCUGGCCUGGUACCAUCAGAAAACUGGAGAAGCUCCUAAACUUCUGAUCAGACUAACAUCAGAAAGAGUUUCUACAAUCACCAGAUACAGUGGAAGUGGAGCAGGGAACGGAGUUGACUUCACUCUGACCAUCAGUGGAGUUGAUGCUGCAGAUGAAGGAGUUUAUUACUGUCAGAGUUAUCAUUACAUCAACAGUCAGGGUGUGUUCACACAGUGAAAAAGCGUCGUACAAAAACCUCCCUCAG
Molecule: non-coding RNA, 556 nt
Organism: Perca flavescens (yellow perch)
Lineage: Eukaryota; Metazoa; Chordata; Actinopteri; Perciformes; Percidae
Source: the annotation of a RefSeq genome assembly